AACUCUUAAAUUGAUUACGUAGCAAAUCCCAACAAAAGAGAAUGCCGAAACAAAUUUGGCCAAACUUUGCUGAUUGUUCCGUCCCGUCUGGAAGUACAAACUAUUGCAGUCCAAGCCAUCGGAAUCGAGAUGCACAAGCCGUAGUUGGAGCCACAAAGCAUAAUUCAAUUUGGUCAAUCAACUGCAACACUUGAGCAGUUAGUUUACUGCCGAGCACAAAUAACCGGCUCUCAUCUGACCGACUGCCUAUUGAACACGAUGAAUUUAUGGCUCAACAUUUUAGCAGAUGAUUGAUGGGAGUUUCGGAGCAGACGCGGGUACAGGUCCUACCAUCCCACCUAGUUUCAAUGUGUGCCUUUGCCCCAGCCUCUAUCUGGCAGUCCAUGCAAAUGCCAAAUGCUAAUGAAUUCAUUCAACAUACAACUUCAAAAGUCAUAAAUACUCCGAGUGCCG
This 453-nucleotide long non-coding RNA is filed under the name Drosophila melanogaster (fruit fly). Its description in RNAcentral is "long non-coding RNA:CR44674 (Dmel_CR44674)". The record is from RNAcentral. Lineage: Eukaryota; Metazoa; Arthropoda; Insecta; Diptera; Drosophilidae.